AAUUAUAUUUUUAAACAUAUAAAAUAUUUAUAUUUUUAAAUAAUUAAGAAAAUUGAAAAUAAAAUGAAUUAUUAAAACAAAAUAAAAAUUUGAUAUGUUGUGUGCUCAAAAAGCAAGCGGCAAACUUUCCCCCCUGUUUCAUUUGAGUUAGUCAUUCAGCACAGAAACAAAACUCUACACACUCACACUGCGCCUUCGUUGAAACAUCCUUCGGCUGCUAAAACUCAACUCUCCAUCAAAUACACCAUCUCCGCUGCUCAAACUCACCGGUGAUUAGGGUUUCAAUUGAAUUGGGGCUUCACUGGAACUAGGGCUUCAACAGUGUUUUAAUUUAAUUGCAACUUCGAUUUGCUUAGAUAUAAGCAAAAUAUACAAAGUUUGUUUGAUGUUGUGGUCCAUGCUGUUAAUGAAGAUUAUGUGGAAAUGGCUCAAGGAUUUCACCAGGCUUGAGUUUCUUGCUAGUGGAACAGAUGACUCCUAUUGCCACAGCCUUGGAAUCACAUAUCAUGCACUUCAUUUAUGUAUGGAGAAGGGUGUAUUUUAGAGAAAAGGCUAGAGAGCACAGGCUAAUUGUUGUUACUUUUAGUUGGUUUUGAAUUGUUAGGUAAUUUGAUUUGGUUGGAUUUGUUAUGAAAUUUGUAAGAAAGAAUAGUUUAUUGGGAUGUUUAAUAUAUAAAGAGUAUAUUUUCAAUUUCUUUUAGAAUAAUGUUG
Daucus carota subsp. sativus is the source of this 711-nucleotide long non-coding RNA. RefSeq lists it as uncharacterized. The record is from RefSeq and is a predicted model, not a curated record. Lineage: Eukaryota; Viridiplantae; Streptophyta; Magnoliopsida; Apiales; Apiaceae. The transcript is spliced from 3 exons.